AUUAAACAAACGUUUACAUUAGGCAUAUAUGACUCAAAGCUUACAUGCUAUAGUGUGGUUUCUAUCUAUCUAUUAUUAUAUAAUUAAAACGAAAGACAAAUAAGACACGACAUUAAUCCACAUAGACUAAUAUUAUUACCAUCGUUUGAUCAGAAUAACAAUGGCUCAGAUUUAAAGAUUUUACGUAACACUAAAUAUGUACGUGUUGGGAAAUUGAACUGUCACGUCUAUAUGCAUACACACAUGCAUAAGGUACAUCAACGGAGUCAUAGAAGGGAGCACCGGUUCACAAAAAAAAUCAAAGAUUAAAUUACCUCUACAACUAAUAUUAGAUAUGGACAGUAGAGGUUACAUAUCCAACUAUUGUCAGGUACAAUUCCUAAUCGGAACUCGCAAGGACACAUUAGUAACUUGGUCAGCCAACGAGUGCAUACGGACACGUCCCCAAAAAUACACGGCUGGCCGCAUCCAUCAGACUAUUCGCACAUAGCAUCCAUAAAAAUAGACGGCCGACCACACCCAACAGCCAAACACGCCCAUCUUCAGUCUGGAAAUCUAAGACGUCCAGCAACUUGCGACUCAGCGACACGACCAGGAAAAUUGAAGCCAACCAACUCUACGAUGCCGUGACUCGACGAUGCCACCACCAGGACAGUUGAAGCCAACAGACUCUGACGCGAGAUGUUUGGACUCUGCGCUCCGCAAAUUUCGAGGCCAGCCCAAAUUAUGAAGUGGCAUGCAACUCGAUUUCUACGUAAGUCAUACCCAACUGUCUGCGUUUCCUUCUUACCUGAAUCAACAUGUUUAGUAAUUAUUAUUACUAUGAACUCACUUUUUUUAGCUACAAUCUUCAUAUGCACGUUGACAACUACUUUUCCAAUCCUUUUGAAGCUGUGCGUUUUAAUCCUUUCCAAGUGAAAACAUUUGGGAAUACAAGAAGCUGAGAGACUUCAACAAGAGACCAAAACUGGGAUUUUUAAGUGAAAGUAACAAGAACAUGGGAUAUAAUCAAUCCUACAACUGAUGAACUUAUGAGCCUUGAUGUGAUCUUGAUGGAUGAACAGGUUUAUGCUAUACAUAUUUAAUUGCAGACUGUUCUAUUGUUCCAAAAACAAUCGAUAUGUGAGUCUUGAUGCGAUCUUAAUAGAUGAGCAGGUUUAUUCUAUACAAUUUUAAAUGCAGACUAUUCUAUGGUUUCAAACAACAGUCGAUAAGUAUAUAUUUUAGUUAUUUUGAUAGAGGACCAAACAACUCAUGCUACCAUACGUAAAAAUCGGAUAGAUACUUAUAGAUCAAAGGAUAACUGUGAAAUCUAUUUAUCCAUUUAGCAAUAUUAAGGUUGUGGAAGGCACAAAAUAUGGCCCACUGAACAAUGAUAUUAGAUUAAUUUUUGUGUACAAUACUAAGAGAAAGGAGGUGAAAGGAUCAAAAGUAUCAUCGGAAGAUUUCCUAAUUACUAGAGUUUGCUACCAAGGACAUACUACAAUAACAAGCCUAAAAAGAUAAACAAUGCUCAGGUAUGUCAUAGUUGUAAAUCAGAUUUUGGGCUAAUCCAUCAUUCUAACUAUGUGGUAAUUAAUCACAAAAUUGACAGAUGUAGGAUUAUUGGAAGUUUUUCAAAAUUACUACUUUGAAUCUCAUACCAAGGACAUACUACAACAAGAAGCAUAUAAAGGUAAGCAAUGCUCAGGUAUGUUACAGUUACAAAUCAGUUUCGGUUUAUUCAAUCAUUAUAACUACGGGUAAUUAAUCACCAAAAUGACAGAUGUCAUCAAACAAGUUAACCAGAUGAAGCAUGUAGAACAAAAAAUAACAAAAAAACCGUGAUAUUGAAUUUCUAAUACCAUAGUAAGUGCCGGUGUAUACCAAUGUCUUCAAUUUUAAUUAUACUUCUUCCAUUGUGGUCGGCAUCAAAUUUUUAGGCAUAACAUUUUGGGCUGAAACCAAAGUUAUGAUAUGGGAAUUUUUUAUUAUUAUUUGAAUGAAUAUGUAAUCCAAAACCAAAUUGUCUUACAGUGACCUAAACAAUGGUGCAAACAUUGAAUGGCAAGUCCAAUAAUUUCAAAAACUAAAAUAUGUAAUAGAUUAAUUGUUGAUGGGUUUGUGCCUAAAGUCAAGAGGUAACACAAGAAUACAUACGGAUCUAGACAUAACCAAAAUUCAAGAACUCAAGUAUGAAACACUAUCUAUUCUGAUCUACUGAUAACACAUUGAAGUAAAAGUCAUAAAUACAUUGCUUAACGAUGAAGACUCAGAUGCUCAAUGUCUGUCAUCUAACGAAACAUUUAUGCCUGGCUUGAGAUGUUGUACUUGAACAAUAAAGACAAGGAGGUAAAGAUGCAUUUAAUUCAUUAAAAUAAAUAACUAUUAUCUUUUCUAUUUUUCAUCAAUGAUUUAUCUUGUAGUAUGCCAAGCAGUUGAUAGGUGACAAAGUGGACAUCAUGUUGGAAGAAACGAAGAAGCAAGACAUGCCAGCUACAAGGGAGAUUGAUUUUUCCACCAUACGCACUUUUAGAUUUUUACGCAUGUAUUAUUUUUAAAUGCAUUUCAUUUUACAGUCACAGAAUAAUGAUGGAUAAUUACAGCCUAGGAAAACAAAGAAACUAUCCAUAAAUUAAUGGAUAAGUUGCUUAUUAAUUAAAUAGUAAGACAGACUAAUGUACACACAAAGAUUUAGGAAGAGUGCUUGACAUUGACCAGGAUAAGAAGGAUACUUAUUAGAUUAUAAUAGUGCAAAUGUUAACACUAUCAAAAGCACGUCAUAUUGUAAUUUUUGGAAGACAUGCAAUUUUGACAGCUUAUUGUCCUAGGUAAUAAACACCUAUACCUCAUACAGAUUUUUCAGUUUAAUAAAACCAUUAAUAGAUCUUCAAUAUCAUCUGCACCACCAACACAUAUAAAAAUCAAACCAUUGCAUGUCAAUUAACAGAUAUGAACCAAAUUAAGGCCUUCUUGCUAGGACAUGGUAACAACAAAUAAAAGAAUAGAACACUUUAUAGUGGAGAGCCAUGGAUGAACUGGAAGACAUAAUAUACCAUUAUACAGCAAUAUUGGUUCCUAUGGGCACAAAAGGUUGUCAAAUCCAGAAUGAAAAAAGGUGUACAGAAACCAUAACUGUACUGCCCUACAACAUUUAUAAAAGUGGCAGGAACCUUAAUUCAGGCCUCAAAACUCUACCAUUAGACAACAAGAUUCCAGAAGCAAGAUUCAAAACAGCGGGCGUGGAUAAUUUUAGAUGCCUUGCAUCCAUGUGUUCACCAUAUACCAUUGCCUCUGUGUGGUAAUUAAGAUGCAAGAAUCCAGAAAGAAGACGAGCCCCACGAAAAUCACUAAACUUUAGAACUUAACCUGCAACUAGGCACAUGCAUGUCUCACGUCAAGCUGAUGCUUUUGCUAUCUGGCUGAGUAAAAGUGCAUGUAAACCUCCUUUAUUUACUGUGCAUCACUAAUUAGAUGGAAGAAUCGCUUGCUAGGUUGAGAUCAACUUAAUUCAGGCAGGUCCAUAUGUUUGCCUUACUUUGUUCUCUACUGCAAAAUUUAGAGGACUAAGUAUAGGUGUCAUUUUUCACAAGGAAAGUUGUGGUAGGAGUAUUGUUUACUAGCAAUGUAAUGAUAAAAAAACUUAUUUUGAUUUCUAGAUCAUUCCCCUUCACCAAAACUUAUAUGAUUGCAGUAACACUUACAUUUGGUAGGACUCCAAACAACACCAACAAUGAACAAGACAACAAGUAGGAAGCCGCCCGCACAAGCUGCUUCACAUCCUUGCUUCGUGAGUUCCCUCACUACCUCCGCGCCACCAACAUCCAAAGCACCCGGCGAUGGCAAGUAUGAACAGCACAACCCAAAUUCUCCUUGGCAAUCUCCGUGGACAUGUCUCCAGGCUCGAGGAGGUUGCCGAGAUCCGUGCACUCACCCAGCCACAUGCGCCACCACCCCAUGGAAGCAAAACUCAGAGAAAAGAAACGACAUGUAGAUCUGGGAUAACCUGGGUAUUAAUUUUCUGAUGGCCAACGGUGACAUCUUCCUUCGCCGGCGGCAAAUCGGAAGAAAUGGCAAACGAGGAUGAGGACUCAGCAGCCUGGUGGGGAUCGUACGAGAGCUGGGGAUGGUUCUUUUUUUUAGAAAAGGGGAUAGUUCUAUUCUAUGUAGAUGACAUGUAUGGGACACAGGCUGUUUUUUACUUAGAAAAGAAAUUGUACAGAAUGGUACAUGUCGACUCUAAUGGGCUUGCAUAAAAACG
Molecule: long non-coding RNA, 4240 nt
Filed under: Triticum aestivum (bread wheat)
Lineage: Eukaryota; Viridiplantae; Streptophyta; Magnoliopsida; Poales; Poaceae
Description: long non-coding RNA (TAES_LNC008765)
Source: RNAcentral